Actinia tenebrosa (Australian red waratah sea anemone) is the source of this 3602-nucleotide RNA transcript. It is a transcript of the gene named kinesin-like protein KIF25, with no coding region annotated. The record is from RefSeq and is a predicted model, not a curated record. NCBI's taxonomy places the organism in Eukaryota, Metazoa, Cnidaria, Anthozoa, Actiniaria, Actiniidae.
UGUCAACAACAUUUUCUUGUUGCCAAAGAAGAAAGAACGCUUCGAGUUGAACAAAAGUACACGUAUCCUAUGGAUUCUUAAUAUUUAACACGAUCAGACCUAAAAACAACAAGGCUUACAUACUGUCUUCAAAAUGCCUGAACCUGCAGACUCGAUGUUUAAAGAAAAAGUUCAAAAACUUGAACGGUUACUGAGGGCGAGGGAGGAACGAAUCGUAGCACUAGAGACUGAAAAUGCUAUGCUUUAUCUUAAACUAGCUGAGUGCCAGGGAAGUGUGAGAACAUCAAGAUUUGAAUCAAGUCAUUUCAGAAGACUUUUUGAAGCUGAAACAGGAUUUAGAAGCAAUGUGAAAAAGUCAUGUAAAUCUCUUAAAAAAGAAUUGAAGACUCUCAAAACUGAUCUUAAUGAGUUGCGAGUGACAGUCAAAGAAAUGCCUGCAGAUUUUGCAAAGGAUUUGAAGAAGGCUAGAGAGAUGACAUCACAAUUUGGAUCCGAAGGGCUGUCAAGCAUUGAAAAGAUUCAGUCCAAACUGAUGGAAACAGAACUAAAGCUUGAUACAGCACUGUUGAAGGCGGCAACAGAAAAGAACAGGAGAAUGACCCUGCACAAUACACUUGUGGAAAUUCGUGGUAACAUCAGAGUCCACUGCCGUAUUCGUCCUCUCAUUGUUGGUAUUGAUUCCCCGGAUGAAGCUUCACUGGGCAAACCAGGUACCCCUUCAGAACAAGUUGUUAACUAUGUUGAUGAGGAAACACUCUCAUAUGUGUCAAUCAAGUCUAAUGGAGAACGAAUCAUGCAACAGAAGGAGUUCGAACAUGUCUAUAAUGAUAUGGAUGAUCAGAAGAAGAUUUUUGAUGAUGUCAAGACUCUACUCACUUCACUACUGGAUGGGUACAACGUAUGUAUCAUGGCAUAUGGUCAGACAGGCUCCGGCAAGACACACACAAUGUUAGGGAGCCAUGACGUUAAUGUGGAUAUUGACUCUGAAGAACUUAACAAAGAUGAAGGAAUCAUUCCCAGAGCAGCCAAGGAGAUUUUCAAGUUGAUAGCAGAGCGUGAGACGCUCACAGAAACCUAUUCGGUGGAGAUGUCAGUCUGUGAGAUCUACAACAAUGAUGUACGAGACUUGCUGGCGCCCAACAAGAACGAAAAGCUGAACAUCAUAACAAGCAGUGACGGUGACACGGACAUCCCAUCCUUGGUUACCAAACCAGUAUCCAACUUCAACGAAGUAAUGAAUCUGGUGUACUUUGGUAUGUGUCGACGUCAUGAGGACGCCACUAUGGUGCAUGCGCACUCAAGUCGUUCUCAUCUUAUCGUCCAAUUACAAGUGUUCAUGACGACCAAUCAGCAACCAGUAGCACGUGUAUCAACGCCCAGUUCAGAAGCCGCGCCUUCGCCACCGGGCACGCCCACCAGAACACGUAAAAACCUACCGCAGCUUGCUAAUCACGUCAGCAGGUCACAGUCUCCUGCUCCCAAAGGACGCACCAUGCGACAAACACGUUCAAAAUCUCCUGCUCCAGGUAGCGCAGCAGCUCGUUCCAGGUCACCAUCUCCUUCACGGUCGAGUACUGGUACCCCUCCACCUAUCUCUACCACUGUCAAAACUAAACUCCAGUUAGUUGAUUUGGCUGGCAGCGAGUGCGUGGGUUUGUCUGGUGUGACAGGAGCAGCAUUACGAGAGACGUCAUUCAUUAACAAAAGCUUGAGUGCUUUGGCCGACGUUCUGGGAGCACUAGCUGAGCACAGAUCACAUAUACCGUACAGAAAUACCCGUUUGACUCACAUGCUGCAGGAUACUAUAGGUGGAAAUGCCAAGCUACUCGUCAUGCUCUGUGUUUCUCCUGCACAAAAGUACAUUACCGAGACUCUACAGUGUAUAGGCUUCGGGUCACGUGCCCGCCAGGUGGCACGUGGUCCCACCAAGAAGAGAAGACCUACGUCAUUUGUCCCCAACAGCAGCUUGUCGCUAGAUUUGAGUCAAGUCAAUGCAUCUCUUCGCUCGAAUGGCAACCUGUCACCGAGAUUUGACCCGACUAGACGGCGUGGAUCAAGAAAUUUUGCCUUCCCAGAUUAAACCUUGGGCACCUUGGUAAGAGAAGGCAUAAAACAAGGAAGUGUGAUGGCUUUUGUAAAUACUACACCUCCCUGAUAAAAUAUCUGGCUACGAGUCACUUGCAUAUUUCCUAGUAUGAUCGGGAUUUUAUGGAAUGUGGCAUGCGGUGCGAUACUUUAUACGAACAAGUUUUUACUAAAAAAAUAUCAAGGGACAAAUGGGAUAUUGUUUCACUAGAAAGCAUUGUAUAUCUAUUAUAUCCCACAAGGGCAUUGAAAAUGCCUCGAAAACAACACGAUGCUCAGCGUAAAGAAAUUGUGGAAUACUGCCAAAUUUACAAUGCAUUUGCAUGGUACAUUUGCAGGGUACUAGGGACAUUCUUCCUCGGUAGAUGGGUCAACCUCUCUUCUUCUAAAUGGAACAUUAAUCUUAAUCUCUCRCGUUCAUCUUCCCUUCACAUCUCUCUCUUCCUUCACUUACCCCCUUUUUUAGUGCUAUCCACGCUGUGAACAACCACGCCCUGCUGUUUUCCCAUUUUAGAUCAUGCGUCAUUCAUUCCCUAGAGUAUCAUGUCUUUAUUUAAUGGAUGCACAUGAGAAGACACAUGACUGUGAAUAUAACUCAAACAAAGAAUUCURUUCUCAAGAGAAUGACAUGUGAUCAGAAAUGGGAAAGUUUCCUUAUACAGUAAAUGGAUAAGGUCUAUUGAUUUUGCAUCAAUCUCAGGCUUUGCUAUCAAUCAUAUUGAUUAUGAUAAUGAUUAUGAUUCCUUUAUAUCAACAAAGUAAUAUAUCAACAUUGAUUUAUUAGAUUAUUGUAAAUAGACAUGAAAUAAUGAUAAUAAUUCCAAGUGCUGYUGAAUAGCAGAAAUGUAAAUAUGAUGGCUUUGAGGAAAACACUAGUUUACUUAUAUGUUUUCACAGAUCAUGUCAUCUUUAGUGUAAAAACAUCUUGACAGUUGAUGUUAUACUUAAUUGAAAUAUAGCAAACAAUUCCCAUAACUAUUGUUCUGGGCUGACUAGCCUCGUUUUCACAUGGGAAUAUAAAAUCGUUUUCAUAGGUGUGAGAGGCUAGUCAGUCGCUGGUCAGUCYAGAACAAUAGUGUUAUUCAAAUUGGUCACCAUAUUUUGAUUCCGUGUAUAAGAAGAAAAAGCCAUUGUUACACUUAUGACAUGACCUCCAAGCAUCAACUCCUUGCAGUAGUUCCCCCAGAUAGAUAAGGACCAGAUAGAUAAGGACCACAUAGGUAAGGACCACAUAGGUAAGGAUCAGAUAGGUAAGGACCAAAUAGAUAAGGAUUUAGUGCAAGGGAGUCUAUAGGAAGCUUGAAACUUUGUUUUGCUUUUCAUCCAACAAGGUAGCAAGAAUCAUUUUCUAGCUUUACAAACCCACCUUUKUCAGAAAUAUUUUUUUUGUGUACUGAGUCUACAUGCUUUGAGCAUUACUUAAGAUGGCUCUUGCUAAUGCYAUACAUGUACUUAAAUAGUGUAUUAGAUUACAUGUAAUAAGAGGUUUUUUAAUCAAUAAAAUUCUUUUUUUUUAA